RNAcentral lists this unclassified non-coding RNA (229 nucleotides) under plant metagenome. RNAcentral's name for it is "partial contains small subunit ribosomal RNA, internal transcribed spacer 1, and 5.8S ribosomal RNA". The record is from RNAcentral.
UCUCCGUAGGUGAACCUGCGGAGGGAUCAUUACAGAGUUCAUGCCCUAACGGGUAGAUCUCCCACCCUAUGUUAUCAUCACUUUGUUGCUUUGGCGGGCCGUCAGGCCCCGGCUUGGCUACCGGCUCUCGCUGGUAAGCGCCCGCCAGAGAACCCCAAACCCUGAAUAUCAGUGUCGUCUGAGUACUAUAUAAUAGUUAAAACUUUCAACAACGGAUCUCUUGGUUCUC